This 69-nucleotide transfer RNA is filed under the name Odontobutis yaluensis. RNAcentral's name for it is "tRNA-Ala". It matches the Rfam family "tRNA". Rfam says of the family: Transfer RNA (tRNA) molecules are approximately 80 nucleotides in length. Their secondary structure includes four short double-helical elements and three loops (D, anti-codon, and T loops). The record is from RNAcentral. Lineage: Eukaryota; Metazoa; Chordata; Actinopteri; Gobiiformes; Odontobutidae.
AGGGCUUUAGCUUAAUUAAAGUGUCUGUUUUGCAUACAGAAGAUAUGAGUUAGUGUCUCGUAAGUCUUA